UUUGAUAAUUAUUUAAAGUCGGGCCUGCCCAAUGAUUGUUUUAAUGGCCGCAGUAUUUUGACUGUGCAAAGGUAGCAUAAUCAUUUGUUUCUUAAUUAGUAUCUGGAAUGAAGGGUUUGACGAAAAAUUGACUGUCUCUUUAUAUUUUUGAAUUUUAUUUUUAAGUUAAAAAGCUUAAAUUUUUUUAAAAGACGAGAAGACCCUAUAGAGUUUUAUUAAAAUUGGUUUUAUUGUUUUGUUUAUUUUUCUUGUUUUAAUUUGAUUGGGGUGAUAGAAAAUAUUUAUUAAACUUUUUUUGUUUAUAUUUACUGAUUUGUAUGUUUUUGAUCUUGAUAUUCUGAUUAUAAGAUUAAAUUACCUUAGGGAUAACAGCGUAAUUUUUUGUUAGAGUUCUUAUCGAAUGAAAAGUUUGCGACCUCGAUGUUGGAUUAAAAUUUAUUUAUGGGGUAGGUUUUAUAAAUUUAGGUCUGUUCGACCUUUAAAAUUUU
RNAcentral lists this ribosomal RNA (488 nucleotides) under Priobium sericeum. Its description in RNAcentral is "partial 16S ribosomal RNA". The stretch from base 365 to 488 matches the Rfam family "Bacterial large subunit ribosomal RNA", at positions 2473 to 2597 of the family's 2925-position model. The record is from RNAcentral. Lineage: Eukaryota; Metazoa; Arthropoda; Insecta; Coleoptera; Ptinidae.